Molecule: ribosomal RNA, 480 nt
Filed under: uncultured bacterium
Lineage: Bacteria
Description: partial 16S ribosomal RNA
Rfam family: Bacterial small subunit ribosomal RNA
Source: RNAcentral
AUUGAACGCUGGUGGAAUGCUUUACACAUGCAAGUCGAACGGUAGAGGGGGCAACCCCUUGAGAGUGGCGAACGGGUGAGUAAUAUAUCGGAACGUGCCCAGUCGUGUGGGAUAACGUAGCGAAAGUUACGCUAAUACCGCAUACGAUCUAAGGAUGAAACCGGGGGAUCGCAAGACCUCGCGCGACUGGAGCGGCCGAUAUCAGAUUAGGUAGUUGGUAGGGUAAAGUCCUACCAAGCCACCGACCUGAAGCGGGUCUGAGAGGACGACCAGCCACACUGGACCUGAGACACGGUCCAGACUCCUACGGGAGGCAGCAGUCGGGAAUUUUGGACAAUGGGCGAAAGCCUGAUCCAGCCAUCCCGCGUGCAGGAUGAAGGCGCUCGGGUUGUAAACUGCUUUUGUACAGAACGAAAAGGUUUCUAUUCAUACGAGGAGCUCAUGACGGUACUGUAAGAAUAAGCACCGGCUAACUACGUG